UGGGGAAUAUUGGACAAUGGGCGCAAGCCUGAUCCAGCAAUGCCGCGUGUGUGAAGAAGGCCUGCGGGUUGUAAAGCACUUUCAGUGGGGAAGAAAAGCGGGGUGCUAAUACCAUCCGGUUUUGACGUUACUCACAGAAGAAGCACCGGCUAACUCCGUGCCAGCAGCCGCGGUAAUACGGAGGGUGCGAGCGUUAAUCGGAAUCACUGGGCGUAAAGCGCACGUAGGCGGCCGUGUAAGUCAGAUGUGA
RNAcentral lists this ribosomal RNA (250 nucleotides) under uncultured bacterium. Its description in RNAcentral is "partial 16S ribosomal RNA". It matches the Rfam family "Bacterial small subunit ribosomal RNA", at positions 355 to 597 of the family's 1533-position model. The record is from RNAcentral.